This 64-nucleotide transfer RNA is filed under the name Curculionoidea sp. 1 KM-2017. RNAcentral's name for it is "tRNA-Asp". The record is from RNAcentral. Lineage: Eukaryota; Metazoa; Arthropoda; Insecta; Coleoptera.
AAAAAUUUAGUUAAAUAUAUAACGCUAAUUUGUCAAAUUAGAAUUAUUUUAAAAAUAAUUUUUU